UAUCGCUGGAAGUCUCAUAGCCA
This 23-nucleotide non-coding RNA is filed under the name Arabidopsis thaliana (thale cress). The record is from RNAcentral. Lineage: Eukaryota; Viridiplantae; Streptophyta; Magnoliopsida; Brassicales; Brassicaceae.